AGAGGACCUGCAGGUUUAAAGGUCUGUCUGUCUGUCUGUCUGUCUGUCUGUCUGUCUGUCUGGAUACCCUGGUCUGAGAGGACCUGCAGGUUUAAAGGUCUGUCUGUCUGUCUGUCUGUCUGUCU
Non-coding RNA from Oncorhynchus mykiss (rainbow trout), 125 nucleotides. Lineage: Eukaryota; Metazoa; Chordata; Actinopteri; Salmoniformes; Salmonidae. The record is from RefSeq and is a predicted model, not a curated record.